AUUGAACGCUGGCGGCAUGCCUUACACAUGCAAGUCGAACGGCAGCACGGGUGCUUGCCCCUGGUGGCGAGUGGCGAACGGGUGAGUAAUACAUCGGAACAUGUCCUGUAGUGGGGGAUAGCCCGGCGAAAGCCGGAUUAAUACCGCAUACGAUCUACGGAUGAAAGCGGGGGACCUUCGGGCCUCGCGCUAUAGGGUUGGCCGAUGGCUGAUUAGCUAGUUGGGUGGGUAAAGGCCUACCAAGGCGACGAUCAGUAGCUGGUCUGAGAGGACGACCAGCCACACUGGGACUGAGACACGGCCCAGACUCCUACGGGAGGCAGCAGUGGGGAAUUUUGGACAAUGGGCGAAAGCCUGAUCCAGCAAUGCCGCGUGUGUGAAGAAGGCCUUCGGGUUGUAAAGCACUUUUGUCCGGAAAGAAAUCCUUGGCCCUAAUACGGUCGGGGGAUGACGGUACCGGAAGAAUAAGCACCGGCUAACUACGUG
This 486-nucleotide ribosomal RNA is filed under the name uncultured bacterium. RNAcentral's name for it is "partial 16S ribosomal RNA". It matches the Rfam family "Bacterial small subunit ribosomal RNA", at positions 30 to 507 of the family's 1533-position model. The record is from RNAcentral.